GCCCUCUUGGCCAAGUGGUUAAGGCAUCUCCCUAGUAAGGAGAAGAUCGACGGUUCGACCCCGUCAGGGGGCU
This is a transfer RNA of Paramecium tetraurelia, 73 nucleotides long. It matches the Rfam family "tRNA". Rfam says of the family: Transfer RNA (tRNA) molecules are approximately 80 nucleotides in length. Their secondary structure includes four short double-helical elements and three loops (D, anti-codon, and T loops). Further hydrogen bonds mediate the characteristic L-shaped molecular structure. tRNAs have two regions of fundamental functional importance: the anti-codon, which is responsible for specific mRNA codon recognition, and the 3' end, to which the tRNAs corresponding amino acid is attached (by aminoacyl-tRNA synthetases). tRNAs cope with the degeneracy of the genetic code in two manners: having more than one tRNA (with a specific anti-codon) for a particular amino acid; and 'wobble' base-pairing, i.e. permitting non-standard base-pairing at the 3rd anti-codon position. The record is from Rfam. Lineage: Eukaryota; Ciliophora; Oligohymenophorea; Peniculida; Parameciidae.